GACGUGGUGCCGGAAUGGUCACGGUCCUGGUUGCAACCCAGGUACAUGCAGGUUCGAGCCCUGUCCACGUCUCCA
RNAcentral lists this transfer RNA (75 nucleotides) under Ensifer meliloti. RNAcentral describes it as "Sinorhizobium meliloti tRNA-Cys". It matches the Rfam family "tRNA". From Rfam's summary of the family: Transfer RNA (tRNA) molecules are approximately 80 nucleotides in length. Their secondary structure includes four short double-helical elements and three loops (D, anti-codon, and T loops). Further hydrogen bonds mediate the characteristic L-shaped molecular structure. tRNAs have two regions of fundamental functional importance: the anti-codon, which is responsible for specific mRNA codon recognition, and the 3' end, to which the tRNAs corresponding amino acid is attached (by aminoacyl-tRNA synthetases). tRNAs cope with the degeneracy of the genetic code in two manners: having more than one tRNA (with a specific anti-codon) for a particular amino acid; and 'wobble' base-pairing, i.e. permitting non-standard base-pairing at the 3rd anti-codon position. Lineage: Bacteria; Pseudomonadati; Pseudomonadota; Alphaproteobacteria; Hyphomicrobiales; Rhizobiaceae. The record is from RNAcentral.